CCUACGGGUGGCAGCAGUGAGGAAUAUUGGUCAAUGGGCUUACGCCUGAACCAGCCAAGUCGCGUGAGGGAAGACUGCCCUAUGGGUUGUAAACCUCUUUUGUCAGGGAGCAACGCCGGUUACGUGUAGCCGGACUGAGAGUACCUGAAGAAAAAGCAUCGGCUAACUCCGUGCCAGCAGCCGCGGUAAUACGGAGGAUGCGAGCGUUAUCCGGAAUGAUUGGGCGUAAAGGGUGCGCAGGCGGUCCUGAAAGUCUGGAGUGAAACGCAUGAGCUCAACUCAUGCAUGGCUUUGGAAACUGGAGGACUGGAGAGCAGGAGAGGGCGGUGGAACUCCAUGUGUAGCGGUAAAAUGCGUAGAUAUAUGGAAGAACACCAGUGGCGAAGGCGGCCGCCUGGCCUGUUGCUGACGCUGAGGCACGAAAGCGUGGGGAGCAAAUAGGAUUAGAUACCCGGGUAGUC
Molecule: ribosomal RNA, 461 nt
Filed under: uncultured bacterium
Lineage: Bacteria
Description: partial 16S ribosomal RNA
Rfam family: Bacterial small subunit ribosomal RNA
Source: RNAcentral